This 260-nucleotide ribosomal RNA is filed under the name uncultured archaeon. RNAcentral describes it as "partial 16S ribosomal RNA". It matches the Rfam family "Archaeal small subunit ribosomal RNA", at positions 748 to 1009 of the family's 1478-position model. The record is from RNAcentral.
CAGCCGUAAACUAUGCUCGCUAGGUGUCAGGCAUGGCGCGACCGUGUCUGGUGCCGCAGGGAAGCCGUGAAGCGAGCCACCUGGGAAGUACGGCCGCAAGGCUGAACUUAAAGGAAUUGGCGGGGGAGCACCACAACGGGUGGAGCCUGCGGUUUAAUUGGACUCAACGCCGGACAACUCACCGGGAACGACAGCAAUAUGUAGGCCAGGCUGAAGACCUUGCCUGAAUCGCUGAGAGGAGGUGCAUGGCGUAGACGUCU